Anthonomus grandis grandis is the source of this 806-nucleotide long non-coding RNA. RefSeq lists it as uncharacterized. The transcript has 2 exons. Lineage: Eukaryota; Metazoa; Arthropoda; Insecta; Coleoptera; Curculionidae. The record is from RefSeq and is a predicted model, not a curated record.
AAAAAUGAAAUUUUGAUUACUUUCAAACGAUAUAACUUUCAUAAGUUUAUGUUGAUUAACCAAUUAGCAACCCAUCAGAGCAAACUCUUUGUCUUCCAUUUUAUCGAAAACCAUUGCUCUCGUCGAUGUGCAACAAUCAGUACCUAUUUUGUAGGAAAAAGUAUGUAGUUUUAAAAAAAUGAACCACGCUGUGAAAAAAAUAACCUCAAAAUGUUCAAAUACUGACAAUUACACGUUAGCAAAAAUUGUGAUUUUUGUAAAAUCUAAAUUAGUGAAACAUAUGGAAAAAUGUGAUGUGUUACAAUGUUACCAGCGUAGAUUUGAGACUCUAAACUUGCCAAGCGAAGAAACUUUUUAAUUCUCUGCGGAAAAUUUAGAGGAGUACUGUAACCGCCUCGAAUUUUGAUACACCAAUUUAAUAACACCCUGUAUAAGUAGUAGUCUUAAUAUUAAUAAGUAAAUGAUAUGGGGAUGAAAAAUACAAUCCGACAACCCCUCCGUGCCAGCAGUCGUCGAAUCAAUAUCAGGCAAGGUCGAAGGCGGCAGAAAUUGGGCCGAUCAAGGCCUAGAAUCGCGAUGCCGCCUCUCGCUCUUUCGCGAAAAUAUGCAACUCCCACGCCGCUUACCCCAAAAAAAAUAGUGACUAGAGAAAAAAGCAAGAGCCGAAGGGAAGACGUGAGCCCCAGUCGAUUUUCUAAUGUUUGCAUCAUCGUUGAUUGAUCCGUAUAUCUGUUUAGGAUUUUUUAGAACUCGUGUCGUUCAAUAUAAAAACAUUUUUUGGAGGAAAAUAAAAUGAUAAAACUUAA